UAGUCCAUUUGCUAAAUUCUCAUCUAACCCUAAAUUCUACCAAGUCUUUAUAUUCCGUUACCAGAAUCCAACCCAACCACGUAGAAGCAGUGCGGCGGUGGCCCUUCGGAAUCCUCAGAUGCCAGGCCACUUUUCCAGCCAAAUGAUGGUGGUUUGGUUCGAUUUUGCUGCGGUUUUCGGUGUGAAAUCUUGAGCAAAUCCUUAAUAAGGAUGCUCAAUAAGGACUUUGAAGAUUAUGAGCAUCGUGAAGAUCGCAAGAGGAGUUCAUCAAAAUUGCCGAAAUCGAAAGGCUUCAGAUUUGCAAAUUGCACGACGAAGUAUGUGUUAUUUUCGGCUGGAAUAGCUGGUGUUUUGAUUCAUGAAAUUUGUCCAAAUUGGAUUCUUUGUAUUCUUAUCAAUCGCAGCCUAUUGUAGUAUUGUAUUAGAGGAUGAUUUACUAUUUGUAAUAAAAGAUAAUAUGGGUUGUUUUUAGGCACCAAUGCCUUUUUUUUUAGUAGAUUUACUUGAGCUAUAAAAUGAGAAAAAGAAAUCCUUGUUUUCUUCUUGUGCAAA
Molecule: long non-coding RNA, 552 nt
Organism: Coffea arabica (coffee)
Lineage: Eukaryota; Viridiplantae; Streptophyta; Magnoliopsida; Gentianales; Rubiaceae
Source: RefSeq, a predicted model, not a curated record